This 698-nucleotide ribosomal RNA is filed under the name Stutzerimonas stutzeri. RNAcentral describes it as "bacterial SSU rRNA". It matches the Rfam family "Bacterial small subunit ribosomal RNA", at positions 374 to 1058 of the family's 1533-position model. Lineage: Bacteria; Pseudomonadati; Pseudomonadota; Gammaproteobacteria; Pseudomonadales; Pseudomonadaceae. The record is from RNAcentral.
GGCGAAGCCUGAUCCAGCCAUGCCGCGUGUGUGAAGAAGGUCUUCGGAUUGUAAAGCACUUUAAGUUGGGAGGAAGGGCAGUAAGUUAAUACCUUGCUGUUUUGACGUUACCAACAGAAUAAGCACCGGCUAACUUCGUGCCAGCAGCCGCGGUAAUACCAAGGGUGCAAGCGUUAAUCGGAAUUACUGGGCGUAAAGCGCGCGUAGGUGGUUCGUUAAGUUGGAUGUGAAAGCCCCGGGCUCAACCUGGGAACUGCAUCCCAAACUGGCGAGCUAGAGUAUGGCAGAGGGUGGUGGAAUUUCCUGUGUAGCGGUGAAAUGCGUACAUAUAGGAAGGAACACCAGUGGCGUAGGCCACCACCUGGGCUAAUACUGACCCUGAGGUGCGAAAGCGUGGGGAGCAAACAGGAUUAGAUUCCCUGGUAGUCCACGCCGUAAACGAUUUCCACUAAGCCUUGGGAUUCUUGUCCAUCUUACUGGGGGAACUUACGGAAUAAACCCGACCGGCUGGGGGAAGACUGGCGCAAGGUUAAAACUUAAAUGAAUUGACGGGGGGCCCGGCAAGACUUGGAGGCUGGUCCUUCAUUUCAAAGAGGCUUAAAAAACCUAACAAGGGCUUUGCAUGCACAAAAAUGUUUCCGAAAUGGAUUUGGGCCCUUGGGAAAUCUCUACACCCAGGUUUUGCCCGUUUGGAUCAG